Molecule: ribosomal RNA, 253 nt
Filed under: uncultured bacterium
Lineage: Bacteria
Description: partial 16S ribosomal RNA
Rfam family: Bacterial small subunit ribosomal RNA
Source: RNAcentral
UACGUAGGUGGCAAGCGUUGUCCGGAUUUAUUGGGUUUAAAGGGUGCGUAGGCGGCCCUGUAAGUCAGUGGUGAAAUACUCUAGCUUAACUAGAGGGGUGCCAAUGAUACUGCAGGGCUUGAGUACAGACGAGGUUGGCGGAAUUGAUUGUGUAGCGGUGAAAUGCAUAGAUACAAUCAAGAACACCGAUUGCGUAGGCAGCUAACUAGGCUGUAACUGACGCUGAGGCACGAAAGCGUGGGGAGCGAACAGG